AAUAAGCAAAGACCAAAGAAGGAAAUUCAAUGGCAUGAUCAUCUAUACCUGUUGGAAUUUGUGGAAGGAACGCAACCGGCGUAUCUUCAACAAUGUGUUUCAGUCAGCAAGGGAAGUAGCGGCAAGAAUCAAGGAGGACAUCGACCAAAGGAGGAGAGCACUAAGAACCUUUGGUUAGAGCGAUGUUUGAUGUCUAUGUCCCUUUUUGCUACACCUGUAACCUUUUCUCCCUCUCGGGAGGCUUCUUUGUAAAAAACUUCCUUUUUCUACCUUAAUUGAAAGGCAGAGCUCCUGCCAUUUUCCUUCUAAUUACAGAGCAUCCAACCACAGGAGAACAGACUAAUGGAGACUUUGCUUGAUCCUGAAGAGGUGUGCAGUAACUUCUUUCUUGAAUGCAGACUAGAUGAAAUUUGGGACAUUCCCAUUAAAGAUUAAGUCAUUUCUUUCAUUCCAUAGGCACCAGGCCCCAAUCAUGAAGAC
This 480-nucleotide long non-coding RNA is filed under the name Sorghum bicolor (sorghum). RNAcentral describes it as "long non-coding RNA (SBIC_LNC005756)". Lineage: Eukaryota; Viridiplantae; Streptophyta; Magnoliopsida; Poales; Poaceae. The record is from RNAcentral.